UCUUUUACUUCAUAAAAAAAAGCUGAACCAAGAAAGAAGAUAUAUUGAUUCUCAGAAGACCCUAUGAUUCAAGUUGCGCGUACCAGACGCCUUGAAUUUUAACAUCCUUUGGAACCUUGGCUCCCAAAUCGGUAUCAGAUGGCUGAAGGCUCUCGAAUACUCCAAUAAGCUCUCCAGUCUCAGGCUUUGUACCAGUCACAGUAAAGGUGAUCUUCCCUGUUGAAGAGGCCGUGUUCUUAGUAUUUUCCUUUGCUAGCUCCUCCUCGUCUCCUCUCCCUCCAGCUGGCAAUGCAACUGCAUUGUCAUAACCGGUGGAACCACCUCGGCCCUUUGGGUCAAGGAAGGAGGAGCCUCUGUAAGAUGGCACGAGAAACUCUCCUGAAAAGCCAUCCGGUUUGCCAGAUGCUACAAGCUGCUUGAUGGUGAAAAGGAACGGCACACGCUCCCCUCCUGGAAGCUGGACUGUAACAGCAGCAUAAUCAAUUCCGUCUUUCUCCUCAAAUUUGAUGGUGCCAUCUGAUGCCACUUCAAAAG
This 534-nucleotide long non-coding RNA is filed under the name Daucus carota (carrot). RNAcentral's name for it is "long non-coding RNA (DCAR_LNC005221)". Lineage: Eukaryota; Viridiplantae; Streptophyta; Magnoliopsida; Apiales; Apiaceae. The record is from RNAcentral.